GGGUUAAGAUGUUUUGUGAUCUACUCUUUGAUUACUAAAUUUCAGGGUUAAGAUGUUUUGUGAUGCACUCUUUGAUUACAGAAUUUCAGGGUUAAGAUAUUUUGUGAUGCACUCUUUGAUUACUAAAUUUCCUGCCUUUUGGAGUGCUAAAUAAAAGGGGGAGAGAAAGUUAAUUUAUAAGAGGGUCCACGUGGAGCAGCAUCCAGAUCCGGACUGACAGAGAUUAAGGCACAGAGGAAAAGCUAAAACAAGCAUCCUUCAGCUGUUCCUGUGGAGGGCAAGGCAAGCACUGCUCUUCAGGAAGGGAGGAAAGCUGCACAGGAGGAUUUGUCCCCAUGUUCAGCUUGGUGGUUCCACAGAAUUGGGAAAUGUUGCAUAAACAGAGCCCUGUUCCUUCAGCUGUGCAUUGCAACUGGAAACAACCUGCUUCCAGCAGCACUGGGACUUGGUGAAGUCACAAGCAUCUAAAAAAUAAUAUUAAAACCUUGUCCCAGAAAUGCUCCCUGCCUUAGGUGGCUGAAAGCUGUCUCCCUGUCCUGUUCUUGCCCUUUUUACCUCGCUGGGAAUCUCGUGCUCUCAGCAGUGUCUGGAGCGAUUCACCUGGCUUCUGUUUGCUCCCAAGGAUGUGGGAGAUUUGCAGAACCAGGGCAAGUCCUGAGGUCAGACCUGGCUUUACCCUUCAUUUUCUAGCAGCUGCUUCGUUGUUUUCUUGAGGUUGCUGCUACCCCUUUAAAAACAAGAAUCCCAGGAAUUUUCUUUUGAAACAGGCUUCCCCUCUCCAAAUCCAAUUAUACUCUUUCAGCUGGGUCAUUUUCAGCCCCUGCCGUCUUUUUGGUUCUUUGGGUUUUUUACUGAAUUUAUUAUAAAACACAGCCCUGCCACAGGGAAAGCAAGGGGGAUUUUCACCCUGCUGACUCCCAGCUCUGCUCCAGAGCCGCUCCUGGCUCAGGUGGGUUUGUUUUUCCCUUUGGAAACCACGGCAGGGCAGGGAGAGGCAGCUCCCCCUGGCCAGACUGGGAGUGUGGGGCUCAUCCCACGCAGGAGCUCAGGCCACCCAGGGAAUCACAGCAGGAAAAAGGAAAAGGAUUCAGGAUGUGAAAGUGGGAAGCCAAGCUUUAUCAUUUGUGUCAGCUGAGAUAACGGGGUGCAUUCUAUUUCAGCAAUGACAGGAAAAAUUCAGCGUGCCGGGUGGCCUGGUGUCAGUGGGAAAUGACACCAGAAUCUUGGAACGAAUCAUCUUAGUUUAGAAGGAAUAAAAAUGGAACACUUUGUUAACUAACAAAUAAAUCAAUCUCUGAAGCCAUUCCAUACAAUUUCCACCUCAAGUGUCAAACAGUGUUCAUGUUGUAGCUGUGGAUAAAGACCCCCUUGUUGUGCUGCCAAUAAUGGACCACGUUGCCUUCUUGAAAAAAAUGGACAUCUGUUCUUAGAAAACAUCAGGAUACUUCCAAAUGCAGUACAAUUAAAUGUAUUCCUUAGCUUCAAAACAAAGUACAACAGUCCCAGGUCAUUCCUGGUUUUGCUGUCUGCAGAGUGCUGUUAACUGGGCUUAAACAGGGAUUAUUUAAUGCUGAUUUGUUUUAUUUUAAUUAACCCCUCUAAUUCAUCUUUCAAACGCUUCGUGGCCUUUCCCACUUCAGUGCUGUGUGUGUGAAGCCUUGCAGGCGGGGGGAGCAGGCUGGAGGCAGGAGGACGUGUCACUUGGGAGGAUGCCACCCCCCUGCUCAGGUGUCCUUCUGCUGGAGCAGACGCUUGUUGUGUAACAUUUCCCAGUCUCUGCCACUGCCCAGCAGAAACAAUGGAACAAAUCAAGUGCAGAGGCUCUCAGGACUGAAAAAUGCAUUCACUUUUGUUGUGAAAUCCCAUGUAAUCUGUAACUGCACACAGCGAGAGAGGGCAAAGACCUCUGCUUCUGACAG
Parus major (Great Tit) is the source of this 1919-nucleotide long non-coding RNA. RefSeq lists it as uncharacterized. The transcript is spliced from 4 exons. The record is from RefSeq and is a predicted model, not a curated record. Lineage: Eukaryota; Metazoa; Chordata; Aves; Passeriformes; Paridae.